Molecule: ribosomal RNA, 274 nt
Filed under: uncultured bacterium
Lineage: Bacteria
Description: partial 16S ribosomal RNA
Rfam family: Bacterial small subunit ribosomal RNA
Source: RNAcentral
AUACAGAGGGUGCGAGCGUUAAUCGGAAUUACAGGGCGUAAAGCGCGCGUAGGCGGUUUAUUAAGUCAGAUGUGAAAUCCCCGGGCUCAACCUGGGAACUGCAUCUGAUACUGGUAAGCUAGAGUUUUGGAGAGGGAAGUAGAAUUUCAGGUGUAGCGGUGAAAUGCAUAGAGAUCUGAAGGAAUACCAGUGGCGAAGGCGACUUCCUGGCCAAAAACUGACGCUGAGGUGCGAAAGCGUGGGUAGCAAACGGGAUUAGAAACCCCAGUAGUCC